This 236-nucleotide RNase MRP RNA is filed under the name Puccinia triticina 1-1 BBBD Race 1. Its description in RNAcentral is "RNase MRP". It matches the Rfam family "RNase MRP". Rfam says of the family: RNase MRP is an enzymatically active ribonucleoprotein with two distinct roles in eukaryotes. The record is from Rfam by way of RNAcentral. Lineage: Eukaryota; Fungi; Basidiomycota; Pucciniomycetes; Pucciniales; Pucciniaceae.
CAAGCAAGCCAAGGACCAUAUGUUUUUUUGUGUUACACUUUCAGCAUCUAAGCUUAUUAUAUUCAACACAAGGAGAAAGUCCCCGGAAAACAAAAUAUCUUCUGUCCAAUGAUUAAAGAUUAGGGCAGUGGGGUAUUUAGUAAAGCAACUUUGUUUGUUUGUUUUUUUCAUAAUAAAAGUAAUAUGGUCACCCUAUAAUAAUGGGGCAACUUAAUGGGGCUUACUCUGGCUUGUUU